AUGAUGUGGAUUAAUUCGAUGCAACGCGAAAACCUUACCUACCCUUGACAUGUCCGGAAUCCCGAAGAGAUUUUGGGAGUGCUCGCAAGAGAACCGGAACACAGGUGCUGCAUGGCUGUCGUCAGCUCGUGUCGUGAGAUGUUGGGUUAAGUCCCGCAACGAGCGCAACCCUUGUCAUUAGUUGCCAUCAUUUGGUUGGGCACUCUAAUGAGACUGCCGGUGACAAACCGGAGGAAGGUGGGGAUGACGUCAAGUCCUCAUGGCCCUUAUGGGUAGGGCUUCACACGUCAUACAAUGGUCGGUACAGAGGGUUGCCAACCCGCGAGGGGGAGCUAAUCCCACAAAGCCGAUCGUAGUCCGGAUCGCAGUCUGCAACUCGACUGCGUGAAGUCGGAAUCGCUAGUAAUCGUGGAUCAGCAUGUCACGGUGAAUACGUUCCCGGGUCUU
RNAcentral lists this ribosomal RNA (447 nucleotides) under uncultured Rhodocyclaceae bacterium. RNAcentral's name for it is "bacterial SSU rRNA". It matches the Rfam family "Bacterial small subunit ribosomal RNA", at positions 936 to 1382 of the family's 1533-position model. The record is from RNAcentral. Lineage: Bacteria; Pseudomonadati; Pseudomonadota; Betaproteobacteria; Rhodocyclales; Rhodocyclaceae.